Molecule: ribosomal RNA, 628 nt
Filed under: uncultured archaeon
Lineage: Archaea
Description: bacterial SSU rRNA
Rfam family: Archaeal small subunit ribosomal RNA
Source: RNAcentral
UAAUACUGGAUAGGCAAUUAUUCCUGUAAUGGUUUUUUGUUUAAAUGUUUUUUCGCCUAAAGAUGGGUCUGCGGCCGAUUAGGUAGUUGGUUAGGUAAUGGCUUACCAAGCCUUUGAUCGGUACGGGUUGUGAGAGCAAGAGCCCGGAGAUGGAACCUGAGACAAGGUUCCAGGCCCUACGGGGUGCAGCAGGCGCGAAACCUCCGCAAUGUGAGAAAUCGCGACGGGGGGAUCCCAAGUGCCAUUCUUAACGGGAUGGCUUUUCUUUAGUGUAAAAAGCUUUUGGAAUAAGAGCUGGGCAAGACCGGUGCCAGCCGCCGCGGUAACACCGGCAGCUCUAGUGGUAGCUGUUUUUAUUGGGCCUAAAGCGUUCGUAGCCGGUUUAAUAAGUCUUUGGUGAAAUCCUGUAGCUUAACUAUGGGAAUUGCUGAGGAUACUGUUAGGCUUGAGGUCGGGAGAGGUUAGCGGUACUCCCAGGGGUAGGGGUGAAAUCCUGUAAUCCUGGGAGGACCACCUGUGGCGAAGGCGGCUAACUGGAACGAACCUGACGGUGAGGGACGAAAGCUGGGGGCGCGAACCGGAUUAGAUACCCGGGUAGUCCUAGCCGUAAACGAUGCGGACUGGGUGU